UUUCUUCUUCUUGUUCUUCCCUUUGUCUC
Molecule: small RNA, 29 nt
Filed under: Arabidopsis thaliana (thale cress)
Lineage: Eukaryota; Viridiplantae; Streptophyta; Magnoliopsida; Brassicales; Brassicaceae
Description: ATSL067000
Source: RNAcentral